This 199-nucleotide ribosomal RNA is filed under the name uncultured bacterium. RNAcentral describes it as "partial 16S ribosomal RNA". It matches the Rfam family "Bacterial small subunit ribosomal RNA", at positions 328 to 544 of the family's 1533-position model. The record is from RNAcentral.
ACGCUCGACACCUACGGGAGACAGCAGUGGGGAAUAUUGCACAAUGGGGGAAACCCUGAUGCAGCGACGCCGCGUGGAGGAAGAAGGUCUUCGGAUUGUAAACUCCUGUUGUUGGGGAAAAAGAGGAUGGUACCCAACAAGGAAGUGACGGCUAACUACGUGCCAGUAGCCGCGGUAAUCUGAGCGGGCGUGGCAAGGC